RNAcentral lists this ribosomal RNA (602 nucleotides) under uncultured bacterium. Its description in RNAcentral is "bacterial SSU rRNA". It matches the Rfam family "Bacterial small subunit ribosomal RNA", at positions 1 to 579 of the family's 1533-position model. The record is from RNAcentral.
UACUCGCGAAUGCUCUAGAUUAGACGUUCGAUCAUGGCUCAGANUUGAACGCUCGGCGGCCAAGCUUAACACAUGCAAGUCGAGCGGGGAAGGGUAGCUUGCUACCUAACCUAGCGGCGGACGGGUGAGUAAUGCUUAGGAAUCUGCCAUUUAGUGGGGGACAACAUUCCGAAAGGAAUGCUAAUACCGCAUACGUCCUACGGGAGAAGGCAGGGGAUCUUCGGACCUUGCGCUAAAUGAUGAGCCUAAGUCGGAUUAGCUAGUUGGUGGGGUAAAGGCCUACCAAGGCGACGAUCUGUAGCGGGUCUGAGAGGAUGAUCCGCCACACUGGGACUGAGACACGGCCCAGACUCCUACGGGAGGCAGCAGUGGGGAAUAUUGGACAAUGGGCGGAAGCCUGAUCCAGCCAUGCCGCGUGUGUGAAGAAGGCCUUUUGGUUGUAAAGCACUUUAAGCGAGGAGGAGGCUCUCCUAGUUAAUACCUAGGAUGAGUGGACGUUACUCGCAGAAUAAGCACCGGCUAACUCUGUGCCAGCAGCCGCGGUAAUACAGAGGGUGCGAGCGUUAAUCGGAUUUACUGGGCGUAAAGCGUGCAGUUAAAGG